CGUCUCGGCCCCGCUUCCGGAACGGGCUCGCGGAGUGCGAGUCUAUGGUGUCGGCGACGGCUUGGGUAGUUCCGUGGAGAGCGUGGGGAGUGGCGUGGGCCCCUGCGCGGCGUGGGCGGGGCUGCGCGGCGUGGGCCCCUCCGCGGCGUGGGCCCCUCCGCGGCGUGGGCGGGGCGUGCUCCCCGCCGCGCUCCUCACCCGAGCUCCCUAGCUGGGUCAACUCUGCUGGACCGGUCCGGACGACAGGCUCUGAUAGGCUUCGUCUUGGGCGGUGACCUCUUGACUGCCCGUCCCUUUAGACAGGAAGUGAGCAAAUGCUGUUGGAAAAAUGGUGCCAGUAGACUUGCCCAACACAUGGGUGCCACAAAUCUUCAAUUUGUAGAAGUGCGGUAUCUGCGAAGCACAGUAAAGUGAAGUGCAAUAAAAUGAGUGUGCCUGAUGUUCUUGUAAGAAAAGGAAGUUUGGACCCAGGUGCAGAGGGAAGGUGGUAUGAAGAUACAGUGAGAAGACAGCCAUCUGAAGUUAAAGAGAGCGGUCUCACAACAACCCUUCCCUGCUGACAUCUUGAUCUCAGAAUUCCGGCCUCCAGAAUUAUGACAUGAUUGUGUGUAGAAAUUCCUAAGGAAUCUCCAGAACUUACGUUAGAGCUAAUGAGUGAAUUAAGAAGGCCACAGGAUGCAAGAUCCUGAUGGAAAGCACGCCUUUCUCACGGGUUCUUUUUGAGGAUUAACGGAUAAUGUGUACGGGGCCUGGCACAUCGCAGUUCGAAGCAGACAUCAGGCACUGAGAAAACUGCCGUUCUUCCAUGAUGUUCUUGUGGAUGGAUGUCCUGGUCUGAAGAUCUGAGCCCCAUUCUUUUUCUGAUGCCAGUGUAAUCUCAUUGUGGCUGAAGCCUGGCUCUGGGUUAGGAAAUAGUUUUCCAUAUUUAAGAACAGUGCCCCCGGGACAUGCCUCGACUUUAUGAACUCAGCCAGAGCUCCUCAUAUGAGAGUCAUAAAGGCCGUUUUGACUCAAACCUAUAUUUCUCUGGGCUUUAAGGGAGGACUACAUAAACUUUAACUUGGCUGUGCAGGUCAGGAAAGUAAAUGUCAUCGCAAGCCUCCAUUUAGAAUCAGACUUUAUAUUUACACCCUCUCUGUCAGAGUAAAGUACAUAGACGCAGCAAGCCAUGCUUACAGUGCAAUCAGUUUAAUGGGUUUCUACAUUCUAAUAAAAUAGCAAACGUUGGCAGCGUCACAUUUUCUGACUUACACCUGUCAACGUGAAUGCAUCACAGUGUUACCCUCUAGCUUCACGUUAGAACUUUAUUGCAUCAUUUCACACAAACCCCCAAACCCUUUAUUUGUUCAGUCAGUUGUGCCAACAUAAUCGAGAGAGAGAAGCAGACAGAAAACACAAGGCUGGCCUCGGUGUGACUCUGAAAGUAGUGGCCAUUUAACCCCACACCACGCCUGUGUUUUUUUGGAAAUUCCCCAAAGUGGUAGACUAGGGAGCCUGACAGAGGGGAUUCCAGAGUUUGUCCUGAAUGGGACAGUCCCUCGUUUGCUCGGCAGGCUGGAGCACACGUCCUGGGAAAGCCGCACCGGGGGCCCUGGGAGACCCUCCCAACCUCAGCAAAGAUGUAGAGGCUGUGACGUCCUAGGAGCCAUGAGAUAGUUAGAACAUAGGGUUUGUGCCAGAAUUCCCCAAGGCAGUGGCUACAGAGUUACCUUUGAGACUGAUCCUCUCCUCUGAAAAUGGGAUACGAAGGCACUGCGUUUUGUAAACAAUUUCCAGGUUUCAAGGUCUCUGAAAAGUCCACGUCCUAAGCCUCUAAGUUUGUAUGCACAGCCCACCCCUUGGGCACCUGCUGAUGCACCGUCCCUGCUCUCGGGGAACCGGGGCUGGCGCUUCGCAGGUUAAGAUAUUUUCCACGUCAGUGCUGUUCACAGCUCGGGAAGGUGUUUGUUACCACCGAAAGCUGCAGAAAUAAAACGCCAGUUAACAAGGAUUAAGCUCACCUUAAUACCAGAGGAACCUGAGGAGAUGGGCUCCUUCAGCCUAUUUUCUCCUCAAGCAGACAGCUUUUUCAAACCAUCACAGAUGGAUGUGCAUUUUCUUCUCAAACGUACCCUAAACCCAGAAGGCCACGCUCCAGCAUUUUUCUCAAAUCACUUUUUUUGAAUGAAAUCUUUUCUCUUGUAUUUGAAGCCAUUUGUUCUUCCUCAGUUCUCUGUAAGCACUUAAACAUGCUGACUAGGACUUCCCUGAAAAACUCAUUUGUCAGCAGACUCUGAUGUGCACUUGGUGGUUAAAGACCACAUAUCUCCAAGAGCAGGGCCCCGUGUGGCUGACCCUAUAGCCCCCGUGCUUUUCCUUCUUUAGCUCUGUUCACUCCUGCCAUCCCCACCUUGCACGGAGAUCUCUGAGAUUUUGAGUGUAAAGUGCAUUUCCUCGUACAUCUCACAAAGGUGAGAGUGUAUU
Non-coding RNA from Delphinapterus leucas (beluga whale), 2463 nucleotides. Lineage: Eukaryota; Metazoa; Chordata; Mammalia; Artiodactyla; Monodontidae. The record is from RefSeq and is a predicted model, not a curated record.